CCUACGGGAGGCAGCAGGGAGGAAUAAUGGUCAAUGGGCGCGAGCCGGAACCAGCCAAGUAGCGUGAAGGAUGACUGCCCUACGGGUUGUAAACUGCUUUUAUAAAGGAAUAAAGUGAGGCACGUGGGCCUUGUGGUAGGUACUUUAUGAAUAAGGAUAGGCUAACUCCGUGCCAGCAGCCGCGGUAAUACGGAGGAUCCGAGCGUUAUCCGGAUUUAUUGGGUUUAAAGGGAGCGUAGAUGGGUUGUUAAGUCAGUUGUGAAAGUUUGCGGCUCAACCGGAAAAUUGCAAUUUAUACUGGCAGUCUUGCUUACAGUUGAGGUAGGCUGAAUUCGUGGUGUAUCGGUGAAAUGCUUCGAUCUCACGUAGCACUCCGAUUGCGACGGCAGCUUCCUAAACUGCCCCUGACAUUGAUGCUCGAAAGUUUGGGUAUCAAACAGGAUUAGCUACCCGUGUAGUC
This 460-nucleotide ribosomal RNA is filed under the name uncultured bacterium. RNAcentral's name for it is "partial 16S ribosomal RNA". It matches the Rfam family "Bacterial small subunit ribosomal RNA", at positions 338 to 795 of the family's 1533-position model. The record is from RNAcentral.